Molecule: ribosomal RNA, 353 nt
Filed under: uncultured bacterium
Lineage: Bacteria
Description: bacterial SSU rRNA
Rfam family: Bacterial small subunit ribosomal RNA
Source: RNAcentral
GGACCCGCACAAGUAGUGGAGCAUGUGGUUUAAUUCGAAGAUACGCGCAGAACCUUACCAACACUUGACAUGUUCGUCGCGACUUUAAGAGAUUAAAGUUUUCGGUUCGGCCGGACGAAACACAGGUGCUGCAUGGCUGUCGUCAGCUCGUGUCGUGAGAUGUUGGUUAAGUCCCGCAACGAGCGCAACCCUCACUUUUAGUUGCCAUCAUUAAGUUGGGCACUCUGAAAGAACUGCCAGUGAUAAGCUGGAGGAAGGUGGGGAUGACGUCAAGUCCUCAUGGCCCUUACGUGUUGGGCUACACACGUGCUACAAUGGUAGGUACAGAGAGCAGCCAAAUGCGCGAGCAUGAG